AUGAUCGUACUAAAACUUGAUUUUCGGAAGGCUUUUGACAGUGUCAGCUGGGAGGCUCUACGGCAGGUUUUUACAGCAAGAGGAUUCGGAAGUCGUUGGAAUCAUUGGCUUUCCCAUAUCUUCACCUCCAGCUCCUCCCAAAUCCUACUUAAUGGACAGCUUGGAGAGAAGAUCUACUCCAAGUGUGGCCUCGGGCAAGGCGAUGCAAUAUCGCCA
RNAcentral lists this ribosomal RNA (216 nucleotides) under Triticum aestivum (bread wheat). RNAcentral describes it as "partial small subunit ribosomal RNA". Lineage: Eukaryota; Viridiplantae; Streptophyta; Magnoliopsida; Poales; Poaceae. The record is from RNAcentral.